Nerophis ophidion (straightnose pipefish) is the source of this 1099-nucleotide long non-coding RNA. RefSeq lists it as uncharacterized. Lineage: Eukaryota; Metazoa; Chordata; Actinopteri; Syngnathiformes; Syngnathidae. The transcript is spliced from 3 exons. The record is from RefSeq and is a predicted model, not a curated record.
CUGAAACUUCACUAUGGAUCAGAGCGCGGUCAAGCAGACAUGAAUCCCAACCGAAUGUCAACCAGCAGGUUUCGGUGAGAUAAUUGUGGUUAAAAUGUCGCCACUUACCAGAUAUCAGCUGAGCUUGUGUCGUCUAUAAAGCUGCCGUCGACACCCGUGAGACAUUGGCGUCAAUACACCCAUGGACAAACCCCUCCGACUAUCAGGUUCUUGGUGGAACCCGACCAUGAGGUUGUUUGGAAGGUUUGCAGAGUCGUCAGUUUGGCCCCGCCCACUAGAUGACGGACGAUGCCAUCAGUCUGACCCAUUUCAGUUGGACUCCUUUGGUACAGUAGACACAGGCGCCUUGAGGCAUUGUGUAACACAAAAAUGUUCCUGGUCUUAUGUCCUUUAGGAGCUAACAAAUAAAUAAUAACCCGGACAGAUACAUGGAAGUUGCUGUCAAACCAAGAUUUGUUUAAUCCAUGACGCUUGGAAGUGACACCAUGUUUCAUCAUUUCUUAUAUUUGCAUUUAUUUGCAUGAAUUCCAAGAAUCAUUUGUACUUUUCACAGAACAAGAAUGCUGUAACAACUAGGUGAGGCAAUUCCUGAAGGAAUUGCGUGUGAAUACUCCAAUGCUGAAGUUGAACUGAAAUGCUGAUAGAAUGUAGUAUGAAUGGAAGAAUAGUUUGAAUGUUGGAAUGGUUUGAAUGUUGAAAAGUUUGGAUUUCCAGGGAAACCGGAAAUUAGUUCGGAACUUGGGAAAGUGUUAGUUUGAAUGUCCAGGAUGGGUGGAAUUUGCUGAUGUUGGAGUGGUUUGAAUAGGUAGAAAAAUUAAUUUCAAUGGAAACUUCCUGGACAUUUUUGGAAAAGCAGGAUUUUUUUUUUAAUGAUUGGGAGCAUGAAUUUCCUGAAUGAGCUGAAUUGGUUGGUUUUGGAAUUGUUUAAAUUGGUCAAGAAGUGUUAAAGUAAUAACAAUUUUUUGUUUUGUUUUGUUUUUUUUCGUCCUGUCCAGCUUCUCAGGCAAAUCAUAUAGUUGAUGUAGAUGCCCAUAUCGGUUGUUCAGAUUUACUUUACAAAAGAGAAGUGUGGGAUACUUCUCUUGUUGCCUUAUUUGAA